GUUCUCAAUAAUUAAGUUAAUACUAAUUCACGAAGGGCAUGGAGCUAAUUAUAUUGUAGUAUAUAGCUACUAAAUUAUAUGUGGCAGCAUAUAAAGAAUAAGUAUAAUUAGGGGUGAUAGGCUUAUCAACAUGUUGGAUAUCUUGAUUUACAGGAAAAAUAUUAAGUAUUUAAUCAGACUAGAAAUGGUUAGGUUUCUAGUCAACAUUAAAUUAAACGUGGAAGGUUCAGUUUAUAUAACAGUUACUGUUUUUCGUUUAUUAUAAUAUUACAUUUCUGGUUUAUGCGUUGUACUGUAAAGUUAUGCUUAUUUGUUUGGAUAUUUUUUAAUGAAAAUAUUAGUAUUACCACCUAAGCUGAAAAAAGGAAUUCGGCAAACUUUUGCUCAACUGUUUAACAAAAACAUAGCUAAACGUCAUUACGUUUGGUUUUUUCUGCUCCAUGAUUAUUUAAAUAGCCGCAGUA
This 464-nucleotide ribosomal RNA is filed under the name Discula tectiformis tectiformis. RNAcentral describes it as "partial large subunit ribosomal RNA". Lineage: Eukaryota; Metazoa; Mollusca; Gastropoda; Stylommatophora; Geomitridae. The record is from RNAcentral.